AGGACGAACGCUGGCGGCAUGCCUAACACAUGCAAGUCGAACGGAAUAGGACUGGUGUAGCGAUACUUUCGGACCUAGUUAGUGGCGAACGGGUGAGUAACACGUGAGCAACCUGCCUUUUACACAGGGAUAACAGCCGGAAACGGCUGCUAAUACCGGAUAAGACCACACCGAGGCAUCUCGGAGGGGUCAAAGCGAUUUAGCGGUAAAAGAUGGGCUCGCGUCCCAUUAGGCUAGUUGGUGAGAUAACAGCCCACCAAGGCGACGAUGGGUAGCCGACUUGAGAGAGUGAUCGGCCACAUUGGAACUGAGACACGGUCCAGACUCCUUCGGGAGGCAGCAGUGGGGAAUAUUGGGCAAUGGAGGAAACUCUUACCCAGCCAAUGCCGCGUGAAUGAAGAAGGCCUUCGGGUUGUAAAGUUCUUUUAUUGAUGAUAAAGCAAGUGAUAUUAGUCAAUGAAUAAGCCCCGGCUAACUAUGUGCCAGCCGCCGC
RNAcentral lists this ribosomal RNA (493 nucleotides) under uncultured bacterium. RNAcentral's name for it is "bacterial SSU rRNA". It matches the Rfam family "Bacterial small subunit ribosomal RNA", at positions 26 to 518 of the family's 1533-position model. The record is from RNAcentral.